GAAUCAUGAACAAAUCAACUCUUACGCUUGCAUUAUUUGUAUCAUACAGUGCUUCAAGCUUGGCAACUAAAGGUAUUUUUUCGGGAAACGCAACGAGGGAAUCUGAUACGACGUUGCUCAAGAGGCCGCAGAAUGUUUUCCUCUUGGGAACAUCGAAUGAAGUACAGCGUGGAACUCAUGCGACAACGUGCGUUAAAGCAGCAUAUAGGUACCAUAAUCAUUACAAUAAUGAAUAUGAAUGGGAGCUAUUUAUCGAGCAAACGAGCAAGG
Molecule: long non-coding RNA, 270 nt
Organism: Rhipicephalus microplus (southern cattle tick)
Lineage: Eukaryota; Metazoa; Arthropoda; Arachnida; Ixodida; Ixodidae
Source: RefSeq, a predicted model, not a curated record